GCUCUUGUAGCUCAGUUGGUUAGAUCGUCGUGCUUAUACAAUAUGUUCAUAGUGAAUGGCUAUAUUAGUAUCACGAAUGUCCACGGUUCGAUCCCGUGCAAGAGCA
Talaromyces marneffei is the source of this 106-nucleotide non-coding RNA. The record is from the annotation of a RefSeq genome assembly. Lineage: Eukaryota; Fungi; Ascomycota; Eurotiomycetes; Eurotiales; Trichocomaceae.